UACGUAGGGAGCAAGCGUUGUCCGGAUUUAUUGGGCGUAAAGAGCUCGUAGGCGGUUUAGAAAGUCAGGUGUGAAAACUCUGGGCUCAACCCAGAGACGCCACUUGAUACUUCUAUGACUUGAGUUCGGUAGGGGACCAUGGAAUUCCUGGUGUAGCGGUGAAAUGCGCAGAUAUCGGGAGGAACACCGGUGGCGAAGGCGGUUCUCUGGGCCUUACCUGACGCUGAGGAGCGAAAGCGUGGGGAGCGAACAGG
RNAcentral lists this ribosomal RNA (254 nucleotides) under uncultured bacterium. RNAcentral describes it as "partial 16S ribosomal RNA". It matches the Rfam family "Bacterial small subunit ribosomal RNA", at positions 524 to 776 of the family's 1533-position model. The record is from RNAcentral.